RNAcentral lists this ribosomal RNA (303 nucleotides) under uncultured Bartonella sp. Its description in RNAcentral is "bacterial SSU rRNA". The record is from RNAcentral. Lineage: Bacteria; Pseudomonadati; Pseudomonadota; Alphaproteobacteria; Hyphomicrobiales; Bartonellaceae.
UUUAGAGUGAGCGGCAAACGGGUGAGUAACGCGUGGGAAUCUACCCCUUUCUACGGAAUAACACAGAGAAAUUUGUGCUAAUACCGUAUACGUCCUAUURGGAGAAAGAUUUAUCGGAGAUGGAUGAGCCCGCGUUGGAUUAGCUAGUUGGUGAGGUAAGGGCUCACCAAGGCGACGAUCCAUAGCUGGUCUGAGAGGAUGAUCAGCCACACUGGGACUGAGACACGGCCCAGACUCCUACGGGAGGCAGCAGUGGGGAAUAUUGGACAAUGGGGGCAACCCUGAUCCAGCCAUGCCGCGUGA